GCGCACCAGGCGCGAAUCGUUCACAAUGGGCGCAAGCCUGAUGGCGCGACGCCGCGUGUGGGAUGGAGGCCUUCGGGUUGUAAACCACUGUCACAGGGGAAGAAAGGCACGGAUGCUAACAUCGUCCGUGUUUGACGUUACCCUGAGAGGAAGCCACGGCUAACUCCGUGCCAGCAGCCGCGGUAAUACGGAGGUGGCAAGCGUUGUUCGGAAUUACUGGGCGUAAAGGGUGCGCAGGCGGUCUGUUGUGUUCGAUGUGAAACUCCCCCGGCUCGACCCGGGGAACUGCAUACGAAAACUGACAGACUUGAGUGCAGGAGAGGAGAGCGGAAUUUCCGGUGUAGCGGUAGAAAUGCGUAGAUA
This 363-nucleotide ribosomal RNA is filed under the name uncultured microorganism. Its description in RNAcentral is "bacterial SSU rRNA". It matches the Rfam family "Bacterial small subunit ribosomal RNA", at positions 346 to 696 of the family's 1533-position model. The record is from RNAcentral.